RNAcentral lists this unclassified non-coding RNA (316 nucleotides) under Hevea brasiliensis (rubber tree). The record is from RNAcentral. Lineage: Eukaryota; Viridiplantae; Streptophyta; Magnoliopsida; Malpighiales; Euphorbiaceae.
GGAAAUCUUAGUGGGGUUGAUGGUGGCAGCCUCACAGUCCUCUGACUCGUGCUACUCACCAAUCCAGUUUGUAGAAAUGGUUGCAGCAUUGCAGUCGAGGUGAUGAUGGAAAUCUUAGUGGAGUGAUAGUGGGAGCCCUACACUCAUCUGACUCAUGCUUGAUGCUACUCAUCGAUCCAGUUUGGACAGUAAAACUUGAAUCAUGAUCUCGUUAAUCAUAGGAGUCUAGAGUGCUACUUAUUGAAUUCGAUUGUGCUGGUGUGAACCCUUUGAUUCCACAUGCUGUGUCACUUUCCAUUAUGUCAUUUAAGGUAGA